CAUUUUGAGGGCAAUCCAAAUGAGAUGUGACAAAGUGCAGCGCACUCUUUUUUUCUUGCUGACCUAUGUGAAAGUGGAGUUUGGUCUCUGCCAAGUUCUUUGUGUGUGAAUAGCCACAUCACUAUCCCUGCCACUGUAAUUAGCACUCUUAGCCCUUUAUUGGAAUUUAAAAUAAAUAGGCCAUGAUUUAGAUAUCACAGAGACUAAAUUAUCACCUUAAAUGAUCCACCCAGACUAGAAGAACAGUCAGCUUCUCCCAGCUCUCUCUUUUUUCCACUGUUUGACAGAAGUUACAAAGAUUUGCUGACACAUAAAGAAACGCCUUUGGAGAGCCAAACCACAACAGUAUGGAACAAACAGCUACGUUUGGGUUUCAUUCUUAACAAAACCAUGCUUUUUGUUUUAAACAAACAUAUAAUUUCCAAGGUGACAAGAAAUCUCCCACAGAAAUUGUAGAAUAAUAGGAUCUAGUAAAUGCUUGCUAUUCAAAAUAAGUUUACCACCACAGCAUCUGAAAACCUUAUCAUGAAGAAUACUAUGAGAUUGCAACAUGGCAGUUCUCUUAUCAAACUGCAAAUGGGAUCAAAACCAGGGAAAGAAACAGAUGCUGCAGUGAUUUCCAUGCACAGAUGCAGCCCUUCUUCCCUCUGCACCCCAAUCACGACUGGUAUGUUUGAACAACGAGGGCAAGGUUGGGGCUCUGUGGUGCUUGUAGCAGGAUUGCUUCUGGCCUGACUGCUUCUCACAAGGCCGCCUCCUACCCUGCUGCUGUUCAGUAGAAAAUGGCUCUAUGUUUUGGCACUAACUAGUUUGAUCUCUAUUGCCCUGCCUUGCCAGCAGCUGAUUACAGAAACUGCUUUUCCCUCUCUAUAUAAAGUAUGUUCAACUACAGGUUUUUGAUGUGAAAUGUGCCACA
This is a long non-coding RNA of Hirundo rustica (Barn swallow), 916 nucleotides long. RefSeq lists it as uncharacterized. The record is from RefSeq and is a predicted model, not a curated record. Lineage: Eukaryota; Metazoa; Chordata; Aves; Passeriformes; Hirundinidae. The transcript has 4 exons.